Molecule: ribosomal RNA, 305 nt
Filed under: uncultured bacterium
Lineage: Bacteria
Description: bacterial SSU rRNA
Rfam family: Bacterial small subunit ribosomal RNA
Source: RNAcentral
UUUUUCCUACGGGGCGCAGCAGUGAGGAAUAUUGGUCAAUGGGCGGGAGCCUGAACCAGCCACGUCGCGUGAGGGAUGACGGCCCUAUGGGUUGUAAACCUCUUUUGCCGGGGAGCAAAGUGCCGCACGUGUGCGGUUUGGAGAGUACCCGGAGAAAAAGCAUCGGCUAACUCCGUGCCAGCAGCCGCGGUAAUACGGAGGAUGCGAGCGUUAUCCGGAUUUAUUGGGUUUAAAGGGUGCGCAGGCGGUCUGUUAAGUCAGCGGUCAAAGCCCGGGGCUCAACCCCGGCCCGCCGUUGAAACUGG